AUAAGUCCAAUGUGUUGGACAAAGGGUUUUGUGUAGUGUCUGUUCUUAUCAGUUUAAUAUCUGAUAUGGUCUUGACCUGAGAAUUUGAUAUAAAAUGAUUUUUUGCAUCAGGGGUUGGGAACAGCAGCUUGCUCUGUCCACUCUGUGCAUUGGCCUGGUAUUUUUGCAGUGCCUCCAGGAGUGGGGAAAAAAAG
This 194-nucleotide small nuclear RNA is filed under the name Pelodiscus sinensis (Chinese soft-shelled turtle). Its description in RNAcentral is "U2 spliceosomal RNA (ENSPSIG00000019897.1)". It matches the Rfam family "U2 spliceosomal RNA". Rfam says of the family: U2 is a small nuclear RNA (snRNA) component of the spliceosome (involved in pre-mRNA splicing). Complementary binding between U2 snRNA (in an area lying towards the 5' end but 3' to hairpin I) and the branchpoint sequence (BPS) of the intron results the bulging out of an unpaired adenosine, on the BPS, which initiates a nucleophilic attack at the intronic 5' splice site, thus starting the first of two transesterification reactions that mediate splicing. Lineage: Eukaryota; Metazoa; Chordata; Testudines; Trionychidae. The record is from RNAcentral.